RNAcentral lists this ribosomal RNA (459 nucleotides) under uncultured bacterium. Its description in RNAcentral is "partial 16S ribosomal RNA". It matches the Rfam family "Bacterial small subunit ribosomal RNA", at positions 338 to 795 of the family's 1533-position model. The record is from RNAcentral.
CCUACGGGAGGCAGCAGUGAGGAAUAUUGGUCAAUGGUCGGGAGACUGAACCAGCCAAGCCGCGUGAGGGAGGAAGGUACAGAGUAUCGUAAACCUCUUUUGUCAGGGAACAAAGGCGGGGACGUGUCCCCGGAUGAGUGUACCCGAAGAAAAAGCAUCGGCUAACUCCGUGCCAGCAGCCGCGGUAAUAGGGAGGAUGCGAGCGUUAUCCGGAUUUAUUGGGUUUAAAGGGUGCGCGGGCGGUCUGUUAAGUCAGCGGGAAAAGCCCGGGGCUCAACCCCGGCCCGCCGUUGAAACUGGCAGUCUCGAGUUGGAGAGAAGUAUGCGGAAUGCGCGGUGUAGCGGUGAAAUGCAUAGAUAUCGCGCAGAACUCCGAUUGCGAAGGCAGCAUGCCGGCUCCAAACUGACGCUGAGGCACGAAAGCGUGGGUAUCGAACAGGAUUAGAUACCCGGGUAGUC